Molecule: ribosomal RNA, 537 nt
Filed under: uncultured bacterium
Lineage: Bacteria
Description: bacterial SSU rRNA
Rfam family: Bacterial small subunit ribosomal RNA
Source: RNAcentral
AGAGUUUGAUCCUGGCUCAGAAUCAACGCUGGCGGCGUGCCUAACACAUGCAAGUCGAACGCGAAAGGGGCUUCGGCCCUGAGUAGAGUGGCGAACGGGUGAGUAACACGUGGGUGACCUACCUUCGAAUGGGGGAUAACGUCCCGAAAGGGACGCUAAUACCGCAUAACAUCCUGCCUUUGAACAGGUGGAGAUCAAGGCUGGGGAUCGCAAGACCUGGCGUUUGAAGAGGGGCCCGCGUCCGAUUAGCUAGUUGGUGAGGUAAUGGCUCACCAAGGCAACGAUCGGUAGCCGGCCUGAGAGGGCGGACGGCCACACUGGGACUGAGACACGGCCCAGACUCCUACGGGAGGCAGCAGUGGGGAAUUGUUCGCAAUGGGCGCAAGCCUGACGACGCAACGCCGCGUGGAGGAUGAAGGUCUUCGGAUUGUAAACUCCUGUUGCCCGGGACGAAAUGCUUCGACCUAACACGUCGAAGUUUGACGGUACCGGGUGAGGAAGCCCCGGCUAACUCUGUGCCAGCCGCCGCGGUAAUUC